Molecule: long non-coding RNA, 917 nt
Organism: Hippocampus zosterae (dwarf seahorse)
Lineage: Eukaryota; Metazoa; Chordata; Actinopteri; Syngnathiformes; Syngnathidae
Exons: 2
Source: RefSeq, a predicted model, not a curated record
GAACAAAAAUGUGUAUUAUACAGAAACGCAUAUAGAAAAGUUAUGGCAACAAUCGCACAAUAAUAAGCAAAUUUUUCAUCAAACACAUUUUCAUUUGUGCGAAUGCAGAGUUGAGGUCACUGAAUUGUCUGCUGUUAUUUGUCAAAAGGCCGAAAAGUUGAGAAAGAAGAGGCGCCGGCGCCUGCUUCACGCUGCUGCCUCGGUGUGACGUCACAUCCACCGCCCCGCCCCCCUCGAUGUUUGCAGCCCAGGGUGGAUUCACGUGCAAGUCAGGUGGAGAUUGUUUUUGUCCCGAAAAAGCCCCGGAAGGAGAAGGACUUCAUGUGGCACGGUGGAAGUGUGUUAUCGAAGACACGCGGAUUGGUGAUGUGCCUCGUGUGUGAUUUUCCUGGCCAGAAUGGAUGACGCAGCCCCUCCAGUCAGUCAUCUUUUUCACACUCGAAGGAGACGCCGGACACAAGUUUGUUGUUUCAUUCCUUUGACAUUUAUUCUUGAUCCAUGUCCGUGGUUGUGGCGCGACUAAGAAAUUUGGGCCAUUGAUGAAAUAUGAUGCGUGUGUGUCACUCGUUUGAGUCAUCGGGUUCAUCGUAAGUGAAGCCGCUGAAUGAAUGAUGUCACCAGCUGGCCGUGGGCUUUUUUUUUUUAGCCUCGACUAAAACUGGAAUGUGUUCACAUGAUGUGUCACUUUAAUCUGAAUCUUUUUUUUUCUUUGGCAUCAUGAUUUUAACACUCAAAGUACUGUCUCUCUUUGUAGACAGAUUUUUAUUUUUAAAUAGUAAAAAAAAAAAAGUUUGAACAUCUCGAAACUAAUUGUGGGGUUAGUAGAUGUUACACUAAAAUGAAUCUGGAUCAAAUCCAGUUUUUACAUUAUACGGAGACUGUAAAAUAUAAUUUUGAGAUUUUGUUGUUGUCCCCCC